AAAAAUUAGAGUGUCAAAGCAGGCUUUGCUCGAAUACAUUAGCAUGGAAUAAUAGAAUAGGACGUGUGGUUCUAUUUUGUUGGUUUCUAGGACCGCCGUAAUGAUUAAUAGGGAUAGUCGGGGGCAUCAGUAUUCAAGCGUCAGAGGUGAAAUUCUUGGAUUGCUUGAAGACUAACUACUGCGAAAGCAUUUGCCAAGGAUGUUUUCAUUAAUCAGUGAACGAAAGUUAGGGGAUCGAAGACGAUCAGAUACCGUCGUAGUCUUAACCAUAAACUAUGCCGACUAGGGAUCGGGCGGUGUUAGUAUUUUGACCCG
This 315-nucleotide ribosomal RNA is filed under the name Cladosporium sphaerospermum. RNAcentral's name for it is "SSU rRNA". It matches the Rfam family "Eukaryotic small subunit ribosomal RNA", at positions 761 to 1078 of the family's 1831-position model. The record is from RNAcentral. Lineage: Eukaryota; Fungi; Ascomycota; Dothideomycetes; Cladosporiales; Cladosporiaceae.